CCUACGGGCGGCUGCAGUGGGGAAUCUUGCGCAAUGGGCGAAAGCCUGACGCAGCGACGCCGCGUGGGGGAAGAAGGCCUUCGGGUUGUAAACCUCUUUCAGGUGGGACGAAGCCACUCGGGUGAACAGCCCAGAGGGUGACGGUACCACCAGAAGAAGCCCCGGCUAACUACGUGCCAGCAGCCGCGGUAAUACGUAGGGGGCAAGCGUUGUCCGGAUUUAUUGGGCGUAAACCGCGUAUAGGGGGCCAGAAAACUGGAGGCUCAACCGUCAGACGUCGACCGAAACCAUCUGGCUAGAGUCCGGAAGAGGAGAAUGGAAUUCCCGGUGUAGCGGUGAAAUGCGCAGAUAUCAGGAAGAACACCCGUGGCGAAAGCGGUUCUCUGGGACGGUACUGACGCUGAGACGCGAAAGCGUGGGGAGCGAACAGGAUUAGAUACCCUAGUAGUC
This 450-nucleotide ribosomal RNA is filed under the name uncultured bacterium. RNAcentral describes it as "partial 16S ribosomal RNA". It matches the Rfam family "Bacterial small subunit ribosomal RNA", at positions 338 to 795 of the family's 1533-position model. The record is from RNAcentral.